Molecule: ribosomal RNA, 378 nt
Filed under: uncultured bacterium
Lineage: Bacteria
Description: bacterial SSU rRNA
Rfam family: Bacterial small subunit ribosomal RNA
Source: RNAcentral
GACGAACGCUGGCGGCGUGCUUAACACAUGCAAGUCGAACGAUGAAGCCGGAGCUUGCUCUGGUGGAUUAGUGGCGAACGGGUGAGUAACACGUGAGUAACCUGCCCUUGACUCUGGGAUAAGCGUUGGAAACGACGUCUAAUACCGGAUACGAGCUGGGAUCGCAUGAUCACCAGCUGGAAAGAACUUCGGUCAAGGAUGGACUCGCGGCCUAUCAGGUAGUUGGUGAGGUAACGGCUCACCAAGCCGACGACGGGUAGCCGGCCUGAGAGGGUGACCGGCCACGCCGGGACUGAGACACGGCCCAGACUCCUACGGGAGGCAGCAGUGGGGAAUAUUGCACAAUGGGCGCAAGCCUGAUGCAGCAACGCCGCGUGA